UGGGUUGGCCGAAAAGUUCGUUCGGGUUACAGAAAAACCUGAACCAACUUUUUGGCCAGCCCA
RNAcentral lists this microRNA precursor (63 nucleotides) under Tursiops truncatus (common bottlenose dolphin). Its description in RNAcentral is "miRNA (ENSTTRG00000025191.1)". Lineage: Eukaryota; Metazoa; Chordata; Mammalia; Artiodactyla; Delphinidae. The record is from RNAcentral.